RNAcentral lists this ribosomal RNA (513 nucleotides) under uncultured bacterium. Its description in RNAcentral is "partial 16S ribosomal RNA". It matches the Rfam family "Bacterial small subunit ribosomal RNA", at positions 28 to 523 of the family's 1533-position model. The record is from RNAcentral.
GACGAACGCUGGCGGCAUGCCUAAUACAUGCAAGUCGAGCGAACAGAUGAAGUGCUUGCACUUCUGACGUUAGCAGCGAACGGGUGAGUAACACGUAAGGAAUCUACCUAUAAGCGGGGGAUAACAUUCGGAAACGGGUGCUAAUACCGCAUAAUAUCUUCUUCCGCAUGGAAGAAGAUUGAAAGACGGCUCUGCUGUCACUUAUAGAUGACCUUGCGGUGCAUUAGUUAGUUGGUGGGGUAAUGGCCUACCAAGACGAUGAUGCAUAGCCGACCUGAGAGGGUGAUCGGCCACAGUGGGACUGAGACACGGCCCAAACUCCUACGGGAGGCAGCAGUAGGGAAUCUUCCGCAAUGGGCGAAAGCCUGACGGAGCAAUGCCGCGUGAGUGAAGAAGGCCUUCGGGUCGUAAAACUCUGUUAUAAGAGAAGAACAAAUUGUAGAGUAACUGCUACAGUCUUGACGGUAUCUUAUCAGAAAGCCACGGCUAACUACGUGCCAGCAGCCGCGGUAA